AUAAAUUUAAGUUAUAUAUUUUCAUUGAACAUAACAGUCUUCACGCAGCCUCUGAAAAUUUAAAAAUAUUUUCCCGCUUACUAACGGCAAUAAACAUGAUUUAUUUGAAAACUGGUACAGGCGAUUUGUGGAUGCCCAAAGUGUCAAACGCAACACCAAAAGAUUGUAAUAAAGAUGGUUUUUCACCACCAACAACAACAACAGCAAUAUCAGUAACACCAACUCAAGUAGCUACAACAACAACCAAAGUGAGCAAACAAACAGCUAGUCAACAACAGCAACGUCAACUGGAGCAAGAACAACUGUACCAAUACCAACAAAAGCAUGCAACGGUAAUCACAGCUGAGCAGCAACAACAUCAAAUGAGUCUGAUAAUGAAAAUGCCAACGGCAACGGCCGCAGCAUCAUCUCCCACAGCCUCAGGCACAAUUGUUUCACCAAUACCGCGCGCAUCAAAGCGCAAUUCCCCAGCAGGCAGCAACAAUAGCUCGCCAAGCAAAGAAAAGUCUGAAAGAAUUCUACUCGGGGGUCAUUACACGACACAGCCGCAACCGGGCAAAGAAUAUUGUGAGAGCGGCGAUGAUCGCGACAGCGAUUGGAAUACACGCAGGCAAAUGUUGUCUCCAACAACAACAGCACCACCAAUAAGUGGUAUAACAACAAUAACACCACUACACAAAACUAUAGCGCCAAUACCAAAGCAAAGAUCAGCGUAUUCACCGGUGAAGAAUGCUUCUGCAGCUGCAGCCAAAGAAUCCGUUUCGGGCCAUACAAAUCAGCCAGCGAGCGAGCAGAGAGUUAGCACAACAACUCGUCUAACAGGUACAACUGCCACAGCAGCGCUGAGAGCGGAGCUGCAGAGCACAGCUGGUGGUGAUGGUGGCGGUGGUGGCAGCGGUAGCCACUUCGAUAUCGACGAUGGUACCAUCACUCCAUAUAACGUCUCAGCUGUUGCCGCUGGCAGUGGUCACGGCGAUGGCGAAGAAUGUGUGGCAGACGAAAAGCAGGAAAAUGAAACAAUACACAGAGCAACGGCAGCCGAGAGCGGUGGUGAAAUGUAUGCAACGACUGGCAGGCAAAUACCAUCCACAACGUUUGGUUCGCCAACUAGAGCGAAUGUGAGUGUAGCGUCGCCACUAUCGCCCAAGCUAGUCGCUGCACAAGCAGCUCAGUCUCAGCAAUCGCAACAGUUUCAUUCGAAGAACGAACGCGAACGGACGUACACCGAACAGCGCGGUACGUCAACGUCGUCGUCGGCCGGGUCUAAUAGUAAUUCAAAUACCACAACCAAAGUGCAAACACAAGAAAAUACCACAACAAUCAACAAUAGACAUUAUAACGCCUCAACUAGCUCGUAUUCGCCCUCGAAUUACGCGAUCCCACAGCAGAACAACAGUGGUGUUAGUGGUAGUGGAAAAAUCUUUUCGAAACUACACAAUAAUCAGUUCAUAAAGAAUCAACAGCAGCAACAUCAACAACUGCAGCAGACCGGUGCGCAACCGAGCACCGCCACACAAUCGAAUAUUACGGCACGUUAUCUGAAAUACAAGUCGCAAGCAGCGCAUGCGCAGGAAUCUGGAAGCGGCAGUGAAACUGGUUCGACAAGCACCAACUACUCAGGCUCGCCAACCAAAUCGUUUGUGGCACCCACUGCAAGUGCAAUCAAAAAGAAAAUGGUUGCCGUGCAGGAAAUGAAGAAAACGACACAACCAAGUAGUAAUCAUGGACAACUGCAUUCGCACCGCACACACCACAAUCAUCAACAGAUGAUUAGCGCUGGUGGCGGUGGUACAUGUGCGCGUACAGCGUUAAGCGGUGGCCGCGCACAGCCGCCCAGCCAAACGGACGAGGUUAACUUCGAUCCGGCCGAGGAUCUCAGCUAUGGUCCGGGAAUUGUGUCUAAAUUGCGUUGCCGUUACCUUAGUCUCGCAUUUCGCGAAUCUAUGGAAAAGGAGCGCCAUUGUUUGGAUAACAUGCGUCGCGCUACUAGCCUCAAUAAUUUACUUGAUCGUGACGAUGCGCACGAUGAGGAUGAGCCUGAAGAUGAUUUGGACAGCGGUGGUGCCGUCGAUGUGGAGGUGCAUGAUGAGGAGGAGUAUGUGGAGUUACGCGCUGAUGCGGAUAGGACACCAAACACUGAACGGAAAUUGAAAACACAGGGUGGCAUAUUAAAGCACGGUGGCGACGCUGCUACACAAGACAACACCAAAAAGACAACAACGUUUCAGAAAAAUGCAAACGCUUUUGCUGCAAAUGGCACGCGUUUGCUAAAUUCGGCACCGGUCGGCAGCGUAGGCGACGCGGUAUCGUCAGCCAACGUCGCGGCGCCCGAUACACCGCGUUCGCGUCAUGUCAAACGCGGUAAUGAUUCGUUAAAACGCGCGCGUUCGGUCGAAGCAUUGCUCUGUGAACGUUCACCUUGGCAAUAUGCGGCGCUCAAUCGCACUAGCUAUCAGCCACAGCGUUUCACUUCUGGCGGUAGUUCGUCUUAUGCGGCAGCAACACAGCCGACUUGUGUAACUAUCGAGGAUAAAAUAAAUAAUGCGCGCAGCCGGCUAAUACUCGGCACCGAUAUAAUGCCACCGAAGCGUUUAACCUCAGUGAUCGAUGAUACCGAGCGACCGCCACCAGAUUUGGUAAAGCAAACAUUGAAGAAGUUCGAAGCGACGGCCAAUCGACGCGGACGCGGGCCAAAUCGCACGAACGGCACCGGUGAAGUCGCCAACAAAGUGGCAACCUACAAGACAAUCAUUAAGGAGAAUAAGCCUGCAAUAGUAUUUCCAAAACCACCGCUCAGUCCCACCAAGAAAAUAAAUUCGCCACUAUUAUCGAAACCAUUAGCCAAACCAGUUGUGGGCGCUAAUGAUUUGCUCAACAGUCCGUUAGGGCGCAAAACCGCUGCCGCAGCCGCUGUCAAUGCCUCUGCGGCUGUGACUGGAAAUACGCAAGCUGCGACCUCAAACGUAGCAGCCACCAGCGGCUUAUCAGAGAACUCACCCGAUAUCAUUCCAAGGCAUAAGCUUUUAACGGAAAAGAGCGAAUCGUUAUUGCAUGGGGUUGUCGAUUCGCCAGUGACAGCUUUAACGAAAAAGCUCGAAAAGCUGCGCAUUACCGCUGCUGAUAAACAACAACAACAACAGCUGCAAACAAUAACAACAAAGGAGGCGAAACAGCCAGCACAGUUGAAUAAGCAGUCACAACACUCGGCACUCGAAGUAACCAGCAGCGACAACGAAUUCGUCAAUAGCAGCGAGUUAAACAACGACAACAAUGCUAGCAAUAGCAGCCAGCUCGUGGGUGGCGCACACGAGGGUGAAGCGACGGGCGAUAGUGACGCAGCCCUCGAAGGCAACGAAAAUAGCAAUAACAACAAACAAGCAGCACCGACGAAACAGCAUAAUGAUCGUGCGGGCACGGGCACUGGUACUGGUAUUAGCGCUAGCGGCGAGUCAGCCGUAGAACCCGAUACAGCACAAGCAGGAACCGUCGCUAUUAGUAGUGAUCUUAGCGACGACGACGACGGACUGAUUGGUAUUGCCGCCGCCGCACCCACAAAACGUAUAACACGUACAGCACUCGAUAAUAUCGCACGCGCAGGCACAACACAACAAUUCAAAUUCGCUGGCAGCAGUGGACAAACGAAUAUCGGCAGCAAAUCAACAGUUGAGCCGCCAAAAACUAAACCGCAAACAAACUUGAAUCCCGAUAUACCCACAUCGGUAUUGAACGCUGCACCUGGUAAGCAAAUCGGGGUCAUACGCCCUUUACUCACCACCACAGCCGCACAACAAGCGGCCAACGCGAACACCACCAACUCCGGCUUUUCGCAUCAACAACAAUUGUUGCAACAACAUUUGGAAGCAUUGAAACAAAAUAACGUCUACAACAACACGUCAUCGACGCCCACAAGCGUCAGCAACGCCACAGCAACACAUUCCUCAAUUUAUCACAGCACACCGCCGCUGACGAGCCGCGAAAUUGAAAAGAAUCGUAUAAAUGAAAUGAAGAAAACCGUCGCCUUAGCCGAUGGUAGUCCAAUAACAGCCACAAUGGUCAACGCCAGCAACAAUGCCACUUCACCCGCCGCACAGCAUGCCGUAAAUGCUAGUCUAAAUACCGUGAUAAAUACCAAUGCGCCCGGUCAUAAGUCCAACAACGCUAGCGCUACGUCGUCAACAGCGCCAAUUGUUGGCGGUAGUUCCGGCACUUCCGGUUUCAACGAGCUCGAUGCGGCAGCGCCAGGCGCUAAUAAUAGUCCCUUAUGGGCGUUACGCAUUAAACGGCAGACACCACCGAGUGUGCCACAGGAAAACACAUCGAUGGUGUUCAACUUUUCCAAUCGCAAAGAGGUGCCCGAUUAUAUUGAGAAUGACGGUGUGAUCUUUCGCAGAAAACGUGAAUUGCCCAAGCCAAAUGAAUCUGGUUUCGUGCUACUUGGUGAUCUCUCAUUAGAAACUUCAACAGACUCGGAUUAUGAUGAUUUCUCUAUGUGCCCACCAUCACCCUGCGAUGUUGAAUUCGAAAAUGCUAAUAUUGUGAUCGAUGGAAAGUCAAGCAUCCGACAGAAAUCCAAAGAAGCAACGUUCCGCGUACAAUUCAAUGAUACGCUCACCUCCACCUUUGAAUAUCCCUCUGAGGCAUCGCUAAUCAUUGACGAUUCCUACAGCAAUGAUGCGUUGAUAGGCGCCUAUGAGAACUUAUCAUUAAAUGAUACAACGGAUUCUUCACCAGCGCGACACCAUCAUGUAGCCGUUGAUGAGAUUAUACAACUGCCAACGCCGGCGAAUACCUCAUCACCCGCCAAUAAUGCCAGCAGCGCAACAAAUACGCCAACGAAAAAUAUACUGGGGAAUUUGCCACUAGAUGUAAAUUAAAUAAUUAAAUAAAAAUUAACGAAAUAACAUUUACAAUGCGUUUGUAUAAGUGUGCCUAAACUGAAAAAGCGCGUUGAAUUAAAAACGAUUAACAUUAAAUGUCGAAAAAUAAACAAAAAAAAAAAAAACAUUUAUUUGAACCAAGUAACUUAUACAAAAUAAUACAAAAAUUUUACGAAACUCCGUAAAUGCCAAAAAAAAUAAAUUUUCACAACAAUAAACGCUUAUACUACCAAAGCUAUUUAAAUUAUCUGCCUGCCCGUACGCCCGUUCGAAAGUCUGCUACUCGUACAACCAAACCAACAACAUGACCACCAACAGCACCGUUACUUUGCUACCUACCUAAUACUAAACGCUAACUAUAAGUACUCGACAGUAAACUAUAAAACUGCUAACAAACCACCUUAAAAUAUAAUAUUACUUGAAACUGCCAAAAAUGUUUUUAUAUACUACUAAAAAUACAUAAAUUAAAAAUACAAAAAAACAACGCAUAUAAUGUAAUUAUGCGUCGCUAUAACUUACGUUUAAUUAAUGCUAAUGCUACAAAAUCAUACACACGCGUCAACAACCAACAAUGCAACCUGCAACAAGCUAUGAAUUACAGAAAUAUAUAAGCAACACACACAAUUCGCAAUGUUUUCAACGGUAAAUAAAGAACAGCUGUUCAAUAAACGCACACAACACCUUAAACGUGGUGUAAGCACAUUUACGCGUUCGCGUUAUGUGCGGAAGCGUAAUGAGUAACCGAUCGAAGUACGUGAAAUGCCAACUGCUAUUCCACUUUUUUGCUUAACCUCGAAUUCGAAACGCAAAAAUGUGUGCAAUAAGUAGUGAAUGUUGAGCUACUGUCAUAAAAAAAUAGAAAAAUCAAAAAAUUGACUUUUAUAACUAAAAUGUGAAACUACGAAUUGUGUGUACGUGUGUUGGGCCACUUUUGAAAAUUCUGUUUGAGUUGAGGUUCAGCACCGCUUGGUUUUUAUACGCCUGUGAAAGCGCCCAUCGAAAGUCUCUUUCAACUGGGAGUAACGCGUGCACCUAACGGU
Molecule: RNA transcript, 5917 nt
Organism: Bactrocera latifrons
Lineage: Eukaryota; Metazoa; Arthropoda; Insecta; Diptera; Tephritidae
Exons: 6
Source: RefSeq, a predicted model, not a curated record